AAUGUCUGGGAAACUGCCUGAUGGAGGGGGAUAACUACUGGAAACGGUAGCUAAUACCGCAUAACGUCGCAAGACCAAAGAGGGGGACCUUCGGGCCUCUUGCCAUCGGAUGUGCCCAGAUGGGAUUAGCUUGUUGGUGGGGUAACGGCUCACCUAGGCGACGAUCCCUAGCUGGUCUGAGAGGAUGACCAGCCACACUGGAACUGAGACACGGUCCAGACUCCUACGGGAGGCAGCAGUGGGGAAUAUUGCACAAUGGGCGCAAGCCUGAUGCAGCCAUGCCGCGUGUAUGAAGAAGGCCUUCGGGUUGUAAAGUACUUUCAGCGGGGAGGAAGGGAGUAAAGUUAAUACCUUUGCUCAUUGACGUUACCCGCAGAAGAAGCACCGGCUAACUCCGUGCCAGCAGCCGCG
RNAcentral lists this ribosomal RNA (411 nucleotides) under Escherichia coli. Its description in RNAcentral is "bacterial SSU rRNA". It matches the Rfam family "Bacterial small subunit ribosomal RNA", at positions 112 to 519 of the family's 1533-position model. Lineage: Bacteria; Pseudomonadati; Pseudomonadota; Gammaproteobacteria; Enterobacterales; Enterobacteriaceae. The record is from RNAcentral.